UGUCGUCAGCUCGUGUCGUGAGAUGUUGGGUUAAGUCCCGCAACGAGCGCACCCUUAUUGUUAGUUGCUACCAUUUAGUUGAGCACUCUAGCGAGACUGCCCGGGUUAACCGGGAGGAAGGUGGGGAUGACGUCAAAUCAUCAUGCCCCUUAUGUCUAGGGCUACACACGUGCUACAAUGGUCGGUACAAUGAGAUGCAACCUCGCGAGAGUGAGCAAAACUAUAAAACCGAUCUCAGUUCGGAUUGUAGGCUGAAACUCGCCUACAUGAAGCUGGAGUUGCUAGUAAUCGCGAAUCAGAAUGUCGCGGUGAAUACGUUCCCGGG
Molecule: ribosomal RNA, 325 nt
Filed under: uncultured Clostridium sp.
Lineage: Bacteria; Bacillati; Bacillota; Clostridia; Eubacteriales; Clostridiaceae
Description: bacterial SSU rRNA
Rfam family: Bacterial small subunit ribosomal RNA
Source: RNAcentral